UUAUUCUGAUUUCCCUUCAAAAUGAAUAAAUCUUUCGCUUUUAAUAAAGAUUUCCCUGGAUGAGUAUUCAUUGAUGAGUCUGAAAUGAAGUUACUCUCUAUGAAUACUAAUUCAAUG
Molecule: small nuclear RNA, 117 nt
Organism: Cimex lectularius (bed bug)
Lineage: Eukaryota; Metazoa; Arthropoda; Insecta; Hemiptera; Cimicidae
Product: U5 spliceosomal RNA
Exons: 1
Source: RefSeq, a predicted model, not a curated record